CCGGUUCACUUUAACACUGAGGCGUGACGACGAGGCACUACGGUGCUGAAGCAACAAAUGCCCUGCUUCCAGGAAAAGCCUCUAAGCAUCAGGUAACAUCAAAUCGUACCCCAAACCGACACAGGUGGUCAGGUAGAGAAUACCAAGGCGCUUGAGAGAACUCGGGUGAAGGAACUAGGCAAAAUGGUGCCGUAACUUCGGGAGAAGGCACGCUGACACGUAGGUGAAGUGAUUUACUCAUGGAGCUGAAGUCAGUCGAAGAUACCAGCUGGCUGCAACUGUUUAUUAAAAACACAGCACUGUGCAAACACGAAAGUGGACGUAUACGGUGUGACGCCUGCCCGGUGCCGGAAGGUUAAUUGAUGGGGUCAGCGCAAGCGAAGCUCCUGAUCGAAGCCCCGGUAAACGGCGGCCGUAACUAUAACGGUCCUAAGGUAGCGAAAUUCCUUGUCGGGUAAGUUCCGACCUGCACGAAUGGCGUAAUGAUGGCCAGGCUGUCUCCACCCGAGACUCAGUGAAAUUGAACUCGCUGUGAAGAUGCAGUGUACCCGCGGCAAGACGGAAAGACCCCGUGAACCUUUACUAUAGCUUGACACUGAACAUUGAGCCUUGAUGUGUAGGAUAGGUGGGAGGCUUUGAAGUGUGGACGCCAGUCUGCAUGGAGCCGACCUUGAAAUACCACCCUUUAAUGUUUGAUGUUCUAACGUGGACCCGUUACCCGGGUUGCGGACAGUGUCUGGUGGGUAGUUUGACUGGGGCGGUCUCCUCCUAAAGAGUAACGGAGGAGCACGAAGGUUGGCUAAUCCUGGUCGGACAUCAGGAGGUUAGUGCAAUGGCAUAAGCCAGCUUGACUGCGAGCGUGACGGCGCGAGCAGGUGCGAAAGCAGGUCAUAGUGAUCCGGUGGUUCUGAAUGGAAGGGCCAUCGCUCAACGGAUAAAAGGUACUCCGGGGAUAACAGGCUGAUACCGCCCAAGAGUUCAUAUCGACGGCGGUGUUUGGCACCUCGAUGUCGGCUCAUCACAUCCUGGGGCUGAAGUAGGUCCCAAGGGUAUGGCUGUUCGCCAUUUAAAGUGGUACGCGAGCUGGGUUUAGAACGUCGUGAGACAGUUCGGUCCCUAUCUGCCGUGGGCGCUGGAGAACUGAGGGGGGCUGCUCCUAGUACGAGAGGACCGGAGUGGACGCAUCACUGGUGUUCGGGUUGUCAUGCCAAUGGCACUGCCCGGUAGCUAAAUGCGGAAGAGAUAAGUGCUGAAAGCAUCUAAGCACGAAACUUGCCCCGAGAUGAGUUCUCCCUGAGACUUAAAGUCUCCUGAAGGAACGUUGAAGACGACGACGUUGAUAGGCCGGGUGUGUAAGCG
Molecule: ribosomal RNA, 1359 nt
Filed under: Salmonella enterica subsp. enterica serovar Enteritidis
Lineage: Bacteria; Pseudomonadati; Pseudomonadota; Gammaproteobacteria; Enterobacterales; Enterobacteriaceae
Description: partial 23S ribosomal RNA
Rfam family: Bacterial large subunit ribosomal RNA
Source: RNAcentral